Molecule: ribosomal RNA, 490 nt
Filed under: uncultured bacterium
Lineage: Bacteria
Description: partial 16S ribosomal RNA
Rfam family: Bacterial small subunit ribosomal RNA
Source: RNAcentral
AGUGAACGCUGGCGGUAGGCCUAACACAUGCAAGUCGAACGGCAGCACAGGAGAGCUUGCUCUCUGGGUGGCGAGUGGCGGACGGGUGAGGAAUACAUCGGAAUCUGCCCAGUCGUGGGGGAUAACGUAGGGAAACUUACGCUAAUACCGCAUACGACCUUCGGGUGAAAGAGGGGGAUCGCAAUACCUCUCGCGAUUGGAUGAGCCGAUGUCGGAUUAGCUAGUUGGCGGGGUAAUGGCCCACCAAGGCGACGAUCCGUAGCUGGUCUGAGAGGAGGAUCAGCCACACUGGAACUGAGACACGGUCCAGACUCCUAAGGGAGGCAGCAGUGGGGAAUAUUGGACAAUGGGCGCAAGCCUGAUCCAGCCAUACCGCGUGGGUGAAGAAGGCCUUCGGGUUGUAAAGCCCUUUUGUUGGGAAAGAAAUCUUUCAGGCUAAUACCCUGGGAGGAUGACGGUACCCAAAGAAUAAGCACCGGCUAACUUCGUG